CUGUGGGAGUCUGGUUGAGCUCCUGGAGGUGAAUCUCACAGUAUUGUUGGGUUGGGGAGGUCCCCCUUUGAUUGAGUCCACCUGGGGAGUUUUUAACUCUUAGCGUUGUCCUCAUUGAGCCUCCAACAAUUCAUCAACUUUAGUUCUGGGUUUUCUUCCCGGCGCUGGUUCCUGCAGUGGUAUCGGCUCCUGAUUCUCUGCUCAGAAUCUCCGAAACUUGAAAAUACCAAUUGAGAACUGAAAAUCUGAAGAUUUAUAGAGGAAGAAGAUUGGCCCUGAGCUAUCAUCCAUGCCCAUCUUCCUCUAUUUUAUAUGUGGGACUCCUGCCAUAGCAUUGUUUGGUAAGCGGUGCAUAGGUCCAUACCUGGGAUCCAAACCGGUGAACUUCAGGCCUCCGAAGCAGAGUACAAGAACUUAACCUCUAUGCCACCAGGCAUAACUGAAGCAUCGCAAGCCUUGGCUUACUGAGGCAAAUAUCCCUUACUACAUGGAAGAAGAUAAACAAAAGGAUUUCUUCCUGCAGGCAGCCUGGCUGCCCAAAGAACAUAGUAAGGAAGAAGCUCUAAGUCUUGAAGACUAAGAAUUAUGAGAAUUUGGAGCAACUUCCCUCAAGACAGGAACAUUUCAUGCAAGACAGAGAAGGACAUAGGAUUCAGAAUCUGACCAGAAGUGCAGACCCCUGCCUGUGUCCCACAAUUGCUACAGAUUGUGGUGAUUUUGCUCCAAUGACUAGUAUCAGCUGUGAAGAAUGGAAUUGUAAUUGUAUAUUUUAAACUGUAAAGGCUACAUUCAUAUAAUACCUCAUUUGAAGAUUUUGAAAAAUAUUUGCUACCACACAAAGAGGAUGAAAAUGGGAACUGGAAAAUAGUCUCCAUCAAUUAAAUCUGGUAAAUAGUUGUAUGCUUUUAUAUAGUGGACAUUUUCAGAAUUAAGUUGAUAAAAUGCCCCCAGCAUGGAAAACAUGAUAGCCAUUGCUAGCUAUGGUAUACAGGAAUGACUUUCUCUGUAUUUCUUCAAUGUCAAAUGUUAUUUGAAUUUAAAAUUUUGCUUUAAAUAAGCUUGAUAUGGAUAUCAAAUAAGCAAAUGUAAAUGUAUCUGAGACUCCAGUCUGUCUUUGUUUAGAAAAACUAGCUAUUUCCCGCCUAUAUUUUAUAAUUAUCACUAAUGUCAGUUACACAACCAGGAUGAGAACUAGACAAACACACAAAUGUGCAGUUCAGUUAAACUUCACAAUAUUAUCACAUUGCAAUUCAAUCAUGACACCAGUGUUCUUUUGCAAACUUAACACAUACACACAAACACACACACACACUCAGAAACAUAUAGGCACAUAUUGCGUUAAAAUUGUAUUGAAAAGAAAUACCAUGUUUUUAGCAAAACCAGGAAUCCAAAUACUAUUUACUUCAUUUAAGACAUAUUUUACGUCAACCUAUUGAACCUCUCCAUCACCCAAGCUACUCGUUCAUAACGGAAGCAGG
Molecule: long non-coding RNA, 1478 nt
Filed under: Equus caballus (horse)
Lineage: Eukaryota; Metazoa; Chordata; Mammalia; Perissodactyla; Equidae
Description: lncRNA (ENSECAG00000053792.1)
Source: RNAcentral